RNAcentral lists this ribosomal RNA (428 nucleotides) under uncultured marine bacterium. RNAcentral describes it as "bacterial SSU rRNA". It matches the Rfam family "Bacterial small subunit ribosomal RNA", at positions 360 to 804 of the family's 1533-position model. The record is from RNAcentral.
AAUCUUGCGCAAUGGGCGAAAGCCUGACGCAGCAACGCCGCGUGGGGGAUGAAGGCUCUCGGGUUGUAAACCCCUUUCAGCAGGGACGAAAUUGACGGUACCUGCAGAAGAAGCCCCGGCCAACUACGUGCCAGCAGCCGCGGUGACACGUAGGGGGCGAGCGUUGUCCGGAAUUAUUGGGCGUAAAGAGCUCGUAGGCGGUUUAGUAAGUCAGAUGUGAAAGGUUGGGGCUCAACCCUAAGACUGCAUCCGAUACUGCUAUGACUAGAGUCCGGUAGAGGAGUGUGGAAUUCCUGGUGUAGCGGUGAAAUGCGCAGAUAUCAGGAGGAACACCGACGGCGAAGGCAGCACUCUGGGCCGGUACUGACGCUCAGGAGCGAAAGCGUGGGUAGCAAACAGGAUUAGAUACCCUGGUAGUCCACGCCGUA